AGUGAACGCUGGCGGUAGGCCUAACACAUGCAAGUCGAACGGCAGCACAGUAAGAGCUUGCUCUUACGGGUGGCGAGUGGCGGACGGGUGAGGAAUACAUCGGAAUCUACUUUUUCGUGGGGGAUAACGUAGGGAAACUUACGCUAAUACCGCAUACGACCUACGGGUGAAAGCAGGGGAUCUUCGGACCUUGCGCGAUUGAAUGAGCCGAUGUCGGAUUAGCUAGUUGGCGGGGUAAAGGCCCACCAAGGCGACGAUCCGUAGCUGGUCUGAGAGGAUGAUCAGCAACACUGGAACUGAGACACGGUCCAGACUCCUACGGGAGGCAGCAGUGGGGAAUAUUGGACAAUGGGCGCAAGCCUGAUCCAGCCAUACCGCGUGGGUGAAGAAGGCCUUCGGGUUGUAAAGCCCUUUUGUUGGGAAAGAAAAGCAGCAGGUUAAUACCCCGCUGUUCUGACGGUACCAAAAGAAUAAGCACCGGCUAACUUCGU
RNAcentral lists this ribosomal RNA (491 nucleotides) under uncultured bacterium. RNAcentral's name for it is "partial 16S ribosomal RNA". It matches the Rfam family "Bacterial small subunit ribosomal RNA", at positions 29 to 506 of the family's 1533-position model. The record is from RNAcentral.